UGCCGACGUUGCCCGAGUUGGCGAUGCCGGUAUUGGUGUGGCCGGUGUUGAACCAGCCGGGUGUUGAUGGUGCCCGGGUUGAACCCCCCGGUGUUGGUGUC
This 101-nucleotide transfer RNA is filed under the name Mycobacterium tuberculosis. RNAcentral describes it as "tRNA-His(gtg)". Lineage: Bacteria; Bacillati; Actinomycetota; Actinomycetes; Mycobacteriales; Mycobacteriaceae. The record is from RNAcentral.